CUACGGGUGGCAGCAGUGGGGAAUAUUGCACAAUGGAGGAAACUCUGAUGCAGCAACGCCGCGUGGAGGAUGACACUUUUCGGAGCGUAAACUCCUUUUAUAUAGGAAGAAGAUGACGGUACUAUAUGAAUAAGCGCCGGCUAACUCCGUGCCAGCAGCCGCGGUAAUACGGAGGGCGCAAGCGUUACUCGGAAUCACUGGGCGUAAAGAGCGUGUAGGCGGAUUAAAAAGUCAGAAGUGAAAUCCUAUAGCUUAACUAUAGAACUGCUUCUGAAACUCUUAAUCUAGAAGAUGGGAGAGGUAGAUGGAAUUUCUGGUGUAGGGGUAAAAUCCGUAGAGAUCAGAAGGAAUACCGAUUGCGAAGGCGAUCUACUGGAACAUAAUUGACGCUGAGACGCGAAAGCGUGGGGAGCAAACAGGAUUAGAUACCCUGGUAGUC
Molecule: ribosomal RNA, 439 nt
Filed under: uncultured bacterium
Lineage: Bacteria
Description: partial 16S ribosomal RNA
Rfam family: Bacterial small subunit ribosomal RNA
Source: RNAcentral